This 3707-nucleotide long non-coding RNA is filed under the name Homo sapiens (human). Its description in RNAcentral is "HSALNT0304213". The record is from RNAcentral. Lineage: Eukaryota; Metazoa; Chordata; Mammalia; Primates; Hominidae.
AUGAUGAUUCCAUUCGAUUCCAUUUGACGAUGAUUCCAUUCGAGUCCAUUUGAUGAUUCCAUUCGAUUCCAUUUGAUGAUGAUUCCACUCAAGCCCAUUCGAUUAUUCCAUUCGAGUCCAUUCAAUGAUUCCAUUAGAUUCCAUUCGAUGAUGACUCCAUUCGAGUCCAUUCGAUGAUUCCAUUCGAUUCCAUUCAAUGAUGAUUCCUUUCAGGUCCAUUAGAUGAUUCCAUUAGAUUCCAUUUGAUGAUGACUCCAUUAGAGUCCAUUCUUUGAUUCCAUUCGAUUCCAUUCGAUGAUGAUUCUAUUGGAGUCCAUUCGUUGAUUCCAUUCGAUUCCAUUCAAUCAUGAUUCCAUUCGAGUCCAAUCGAUGAUUACAGUCAAUUCCAUUCGAUGAUGAUUCCCCUCGUGUCCAUUCGAAUAUUCCACUCGAGUCCGUUCGAUGAUUUCCUUAGAUUCCAUUCAAUGAUGAUUCCACUCAAUGCAAUUCAGUGACUAAAUUCGAUUCCAUUCGAUGUUGUUUCCAUUCAAGUCCAUUUGAUGAUUCUAUUCGAUUCCAUUCAAUGAUGAUUCCAUUCGUGUCCACUCGAAGAUUCCAUUCUAUUCCAUUCGAUGAUUAUUCCAUUAGACUCCAUUCCAUGAUGAUUCCAUUCGAUUUCAUUCUGUGAUUCUAUUCAUUUCCAUUCGAUGAUGAUUCCAUUCUUUUCCAGUCGAUGAUUCCAUUCGAUGCCAUUCGAUGAUUACAUUCGAUUACAUUCGACGAUGACUCCAUUCUAUUCCAUUUGAUGAUUCCAUUCGAUUCCAUUCGAUGAGGAUUCCAUUUGAUUCCAUUCAAUGAUGAUUCCAUUCAUGUCCAUUCGAUUGAAUUACAUUUCAUUGCAUUCGAUGAUGAUUCCAUUCGCGUCCAUUAGAUGAUUCCAUUUGAUUCCAUUCAUUGAUGAUCCCAUUCAGAUUCCAUUCGAUGAUUCCAUUCAAUUGCAUUCAAUGUUUCCAUUCGAUUCCAUUCGAUGAUGAUUCCCUUCGAGUCCAUUAGAAGAUUCCAUAACAUUCCAUUCGAUGGUGAUUCCUUUCCAUUUCAUUCAAUGAUUACAUUCGAUUCCAUUCGAUGAUGAUUCCCUUGGAUUCCAUGAGAUGAUUUCAUAACAUUCCAUUCGAUGGUGAUUCCUUUGGAUUCCAUUCGAUGGUUAUUCCAUUUGAUUCGUUUCGAUUAUUCCUUUCAUGUCCAUUCGAUGACACCAUUGAAUUCCAUUCGAUGACUUCAUUCGUAUCCACUUGUUGAUGAUUCCUUUCGAUUCCAUUCGAUGAUGAUUCCAGUCGAUUCCCUUCAUUGAUGAUUCGAUUAGAUUCCAUUUGAUGAUGAUUCCAUUCGAGUCCAUUCAAUGAAGAUUCCAUUCAAUUCCAUUUGAUGAUGAUUCCAUUUGACUACAUUCAAUGAUGAUUCCAUUCGAUUCCAUUCAAAGAUUCAAUUCGAGUCCAUUCAAUGAUUAAAUUCGAUUCCAUUUGAUGAUGAUUCCUUUCAAGUCCAUUCAAUGAUUCCAUUCAAUUCCAUUCGAUAAUAAUUCCUUACAAGUCCAUUCAAUGAUUCCAUUCAGUUGCAUUCUAUGAUUCCAUACGUUUUCAUUCGAUGAUGAUUCCAUUUGAGUCCAUUUGAUGAUUACAUUAGAUUCCAUUCGAGCAUAAUUCCUUUCAAGUCCAUUCGAUGAUUCCAUUCAAUUCCAUUCCAUGAUGAUUCCAUUUGAUUCCAUUCAAUGAUGAUUCCAUUCGAGUCCAUUCUACGAUUCCUUUCUAUUCCAUUCGUUGAUUCCAUUCAAUUCCAUUCGAUGAUGAUUGCAUUCGACUACAUUCGAUGAUUCCACUCGAUUCCAUCCGACGAUUGGAGUCCAUUCGGUGAUUCCUUUACAUUGCACUCAAAGACGAUUCCAUUCAAUUCCAUUCCAUGAUACCAUUCGAUUCCAUUCAUUGAUGAUUCCAUUUGAUUCCAUUUGAUGAUUCCAUUUUAUUCCAUUCGAUGAUGAUUCCAUUCCAUUCCAUUUGAUGAUUCCAUUCCAUUCCAUCAGAUGUUGAUUCCAUUCGUGUCCGCUUGAUGAUUCCAUUCUUUUCCGUUCGACCAUGAUUCCAUUCGAUUCCAUUCGAUGAUUCCAUUCGAGUACAUUCGAUGAUUCCAUUCGAGUACAUUCGAUGAUUCCACUCGAUUCCAUACGAUGAUUAUUCCAUUGGAGUCCAUUUGGCGAUUCCUUUAGUUUCCACUCGAAGAUGAUUCCGUUUGAUUCCAUUCGAUUAUACCAUUCGAUUCCAUUCAUUGAUGAUUCCAUUCAAGUGCAUUUGAUGAUACCAUUCGAUUCCAUUCGAUGAUGAUUCCAUUCGUUUCCAUUUGAUUAUUCCAUUCUAUUCCAUUCAAUGAUGAUACCAUUAGUGUCAAUUCGAUGAUUCCAUUGGAGUCCAUUUGAUGAUGAUUCCAUUCAGUGAUUCCAUUCAAUUCUAUUUGAUAAUGAUUCCCAUCGAUUCCAUUCGAUGUUGAUUCCAUGGGAUUCCAUUCUAUGAUUUCUUUCGAUUGCAUUAGACAAUGACUCCAUUCGAUUCCAUUUGAUGAUUCCAUUCGAUUCUAUUUGAUGAUGAUUCCAUUCGAUUCCAUUUGAUGAUGAUUGCAUUCUAUUCAAUUCGAUGAUGAUUCCAUUCGUGUCCAUUAGAUGAUUCCAUACGAUUCCAUUCGAUGACGAUUCCAUUCUAUUCCAUUGAAUGAUGAUUCCAUUCGGGUCCAUUAUAUGAUUCCACUCGAUUCCAUUUGAUGAUGAUUCCAUUCUUCUCCAUUCGAUGAUGAUUACAUUCAAGUCUAUUCGAUGAUUCUAUUAGAGUCCAUUGAAUGAUUGCUUUUGAUUCCAUUCGAUGCUGAUUCCAUUCCAUUCCAUUCCAUUCCAUUCCAUUCGAUGAUGAUUCCAUUCGAUACCAUUCUAUGAUUCCUUUAGAUUCCAUUUCAUGCUGAUUCCAUUCAAUUUCAUUGAAAGAUUCUAUUCGAAUCCAUUCAAUGAUGAUUCCAUUCGAUUCCAUUUGAUGAUUCCAUUUGAUUUCAUUUGAUGAUGAUUCCAUUUGAUUCCAUUUGGUGAUUCCAUUCAAUGAUGGUUCCAUUCGAGUCCAUUCAAUGAUUCCUUUCUACUCUAUUUGAUGAUGAUUCCAUGCGAGGUCAUUCAAUGUUGAUUCCUUUGGAUACCAUUGCAUGAUUCCAUUCGAUUCUAUUCAAUGAUGAUUGCAUUCGAUUCCAUUCGAUGAUUCCAUUUGAUUCCAUCCAAAGAUGAUUCCAUUCGAUUCCAUUUGAUAAUUCCAUGCGAUUCCAUUCGAUCGUUCCAAUGGAUUCCAUUUGAUGAUGAUUCUAUUUGUGUCCAUUCGAUGAUUCCAUUGAAUUCCAUACGAUGAUGAUUCCAUUCGAGUGAAUUCGAUGUUUGGAAUCAAUUCCAUUCAAUGAUGCUUCCAUUCGAGGCUGUCUGAUGACUCUAUUCAUUUCCAUUCUACAAUGAUUCCCUUUGAGUCCUUUUGAAGAUUUGAUUCGAGUCCUUUCGAUGAUCUCGUUCGAUUCCAUUCGAGGAUGAUUCCGUUCGAGUCCAUUUGACGCGUCCCUUCGAGGACAUUUGAUGAGUCCAUUCGAGUCCAACUGAUGAUUCCAUUCAAUUCCAUUCUGUGAUGUUUCCGUAUGAUUCCAUUCGAUGAUGAUUCCAU